ACGAAGGGUGCAAGCGUUACUCGGAAUUACUGGGCGUAAAGCGUGCGUAGGUGGUUCGUUAAGUCUGAUGUGAAAGCCCUGGGCUCAACCCGGGAAUGGCAUUGGAAACUGGCGACCUAGAGUGCGGUAGAGGGUAGUGGAAUUCCCGGUGUAGCAGUGAAAUGCGUAAAGAUCGGGAGGAACACCAGUGGCGAAGGCGACUACCUGGACCAGCACUGACACUGGGGCACGAAAGCGUGGGGAGCAAACAGGA
RNAcentral lists this ribosomal RNA (253 nucleotides) under uncultured prokaryote. RNAcentral's name for it is "partial 16S ribosomal RNA". It matches the Rfam family "Bacterial small subunit ribosomal RNA", at positions 525 to 777 of the family's 1533-position model. The record is from RNAcentral.